Molecule: non-coding RNA, 29 nt
Filed under: Bombyx mori (domestic silkworm)
Lineage: Eukaryota; Metazoa; Arthropoda; Insecta; Lepidoptera; Bombycidae
Also listed under: 1 other name
Source: RNAcentral
UUCCUAAGGAACCAUGGCGCUCCGACGGC